Molecule: long non-coding RNA, 572 nt
Filed under: Bos taurus (domestic cattle)
Lineage: Eukaryota; Metazoa; Chordata; Mammalia; Artiodactyla; Bovidae
Description: long non-coding RNA NONBTAT010854
Source: RNAcentral
GAAACUAAAAGUAUUUUAAUACAUAAAUCUGUACAGUCCAUAUGACACACUCACAUUUUACAUAUUCUCCUGGCUUAUUAAAACAUUUAAAAACACUCCAGAAUUUGAAAAUUUAAUAAUAUUCACCUACUAACACAUAUAAAUCACUGAAUGGUCAAAAUGUUUUUAUUUAAGCAUGUAUAUGUUCAGUGACUCUCAAGUUAACUAGGUUCAUUUUCCCUAAAGAUAACCUUAAAAGUUUGCUGAGGCAAAAGACACCUUGCAACAUGAAGCAUUAUGAUUAAACAAUUACACUAAAACUUAUCCCUAAACCUGGAAAUUGUCACUGCUGGCUAAAUUCUUAAAAGAAGUUCACUACUGUUAAAACUCUGCUCAGUUUUUUCCCAGUACAAUUUCUGUAUCCUUAUGGGUAAAAUAAAAGUAUUAAAUGAUUUAUUUCAUUAUUAGCUUUUAAUAAAAAUAAAGUCCAAAUAAACUAAUACAAUCAAUAAUUUAAAAAAUACAAAACAAACCAUUUGAUAGUAUAGUUUAUUUAAUACAAUGUUUUAACUAUAAAAGUUGAUACAGUUUCA